Long non-coding RNA from Manis pentadactyla (Chinese pangolin), 2239 nucleotides. RefSeq lists it as uncharacterized. The record is from RefSeq and is a predicted model, not a curated record. The transcript is spliced from 6 exons. Lineage: Eukaryota; Metazoa; Chordata; Mammalia; Pholidota; Manidae.
AGAAAUCACCUGCUGAAGACCCGGAGAGGCGGGAUCAGCCUCCGCCCAGAGCCCAGCCUGGACCAGCAGAGGCCAACCAGACGGUGUGCGGACUGUGCGCUCCGUGUGAGCCUCGACAUCCCUCACCUGCCCGGGCACAGGGCUCUAUGUAGUGGGCAAAACCAGGGAAAAAUUGGUUGGUGGGCAUCCUCCAUAAGAAGGGUCCAGGAAUGCCUCUGAGGAGCGCCCUCUGAGCCCCCACCCUGCCCCCUGCCCCUGCCUCAUGUGGCCGGGACACUGACGAGGGCCUGCCCCCAGGCCCCACAGCCCUCCCGCAGGUGGCCUCCCAUCAGUCCUGCCCCCUGACUAGGCCCCCAGCUGAGCCCUGCCCGAGUUCUGUCUGGCCGGAGUGAGUGGCCCUGCCUGUGUCUGCAGGCUCAACACCCCUCAUCAGCCACCUGCUCCUGCCAAGGGUCUUCUCUGUGUCCUGUCACCUCCAUAGACCCCCACGUGCAGCACAGAGCCAGAUGCUGGCCCUCUGCGUCCAUGGUCCAUCUCUCAGCCUGCGCUGGUGUUUUCCACCUCCAGCCUCUGCCCGUUCUUGGUGCCCAUGGACGUGUUUCCAGACCUCAUCUGCCAUCUCACUGAGAGUGCUUGCGAUGUCCUGAAACCCAGCCAUCGUCCACCCUCCGAACUCUAGCCGCUGUUUCCUACCCCAGCAUCUCCGGCUGCUUUGCCCGGCUCCACGUCCAGGGCUUCGAUGGGCUUUACAGGGCGCCUCUCCAUGCCCGCCUGCCUCGCGGCAGCCCCGGACUGCUGGGGUGGAGCACCUGUGCCGGGAGGCCUGCCGGGCCAGGGGCUGGACUGGCCCCCUGCCCCAGGGCCCCGGCCAUCUCCAGCUCCCCUCGCUCUGGGCGUGGGGCCUCCACGCCUGCUGGCUGCCCUGGUGGUGCAUCAGAGCAGCUUCCCCCUCAAUAAUGAUGCUGGCAUGGCGGGUGCCGGGGCUCAGCUCCAGCGGAUUUGUAGUGGGUUUGUAGAAAGGAAGCAGCAUUCAGCCACCCUGUGCCCUCCGGCUCCAGAUGGGUACUGGCCGGGCAGGGCCGGCUGGGAGGGGGCCCGGCUGGGACACCUGCUGCCUCCCGCCUGUGUCCCUGGGGGCUGGAGAGGGCCUGGAGGUGGCACCCUCAGGGUAUCAAAUCUGCCUGUACACAUGGGACUCUCCAGAAGUGAGCCCGCCCUCUGCGGAGCCUCCGGAAUGUUCUGUCAAGUUUUGUUGGAUUCAAAAGUAGGUCCACAUAUGGUUUUUGGCAUCUCUGCCCACGCUCAGCCAAACCAAGGGCUGUUCCCUGCCCUUCCUCCCAGACCUUCUCACGGGGCCGCUGGCCAGCACAGCAAGUUCUGGCCUCCGUUUUGGCUGGCGACUUGGACAACAGGCUCCUUGACCCCAGCAGUGCCUCAGAGGGAGAUCCAGUCGGCUGCAGGGCUCAUGACCCGAGAACUCCCGCACAGCCACAUGCAGAUUCCAGUGACCUCUGACCUGUGCUGAGGCCCUGCAGGCCCCCUGGGAAGACAGAAGACAGGGGUGCCCCCCUAGGGGACCCCAGGUUUCCUGGGUUACAGGAUGGCUCCCAGCACCACACAGACUGCAGCAGAGGCUGGCCACGGCCCCGGGAUGCCGACCCAUAGGGAAGUGGAUGUUCUCAGAACAUAAACUCACUCCAUCCAGCGCUCUGCGGCUCCCCUAAAUCCUGGGGUAGAAGGGGCUUCGUUUCCCCGCUGUGCAGACUCACGCGGACACAGGACACCAGGGGAGCCUGGCCUUAGCAGUCAGCGAGGGACCUGAUCGCGAGUUCUCCUCCUUUUCCUCCCUCUGCUCUUCCUUGCACACUUGCUGACAUUCACUUCUACUCUUGCUUCAGUGAAUUCCUGUCUCACCUACACUAGUCUGACCCGUCAAGAAUAUUUCUCCAUCAGUCAAGAGUCCUCCCCCGUCUGGACUGAGGUUUCCCCUAGUGCGCAGGGAGAGAUCUCCACAGAUGCAGCUGCCCAGCAACAGAACUAGGAGUAGGAGGAAACCACUUCAGUGUAAUAAACAGUAAGUGAAAAAUGUACAGCAGGCAUCAUACGCAGUGGUAAAAGAUCGAAAGGUUUUCCUUUAAGAUCAGGAACAAGACAAGGGUGCCCUUUUUUGUCACUUCUAUUCAACAUCCCACUGGAAGUGCUAGCCAGAGUGAUUAGGCAAGAAAAUAAAUAAAAGUCA